UGCAGUCGAACGGCAGCACAGAGGAGCUUGCUCCUUGGGUGGCGAGUGGCGGACGGGUGAGGAAUACAUCGGAAUCUACUCUGUCGUGGGGGAUAACGUAGGGAAACUUACGCUAAUACCGCAUACGACCUACGGGUGAAAGCAGGGGACCUUCGGGCCUUGCGCGAUUGAAUGAGCCGAUGUCGGAUUAGCUAGUUGGCGGGGUAAAGGCCCACCAAGGCGACGAUCCGUAGCUGGUCUGAGAGGAUGAUCAGCCACACUGGAACUGAGACACGGUCCAGACUCCUACGGGAGGCAGCAGUGGGGAAUAUUGGACAAUGGGCGCAAGCCUGAUCCAGCCAUACCGCGUGGGUGAAGAAGGCCUUCGGGUUGUAAAGCCCUUUUGUUGGGAAAGAAAUCCAGCUGGCUAAUACCCGGUUGGGAUGACGGUACCCAAAGAAUAAGCACCGGCUAACUUCGUGCCAGCAGCCGCGGUAAUACAAAGGG
RNAcentral lists this ribosomal RNA (486 nucleotides) under Pseudomonas sp. RNAcentral describes it as "bacterial SSU rRNA". It matches the Rfam family "Bacterial small subunit ribosomal RNA", at positions 56 to 532 of the family's 1533-position model. Lineage: Bacteria; Pseudomonadati; Pseudomonadota; Gammaproteobacteria; Pseudomonadales; Pseudomonadaceae. The record is from RNAcentral.